GAUGAAGAACGCAGCGAAAUGCGAUACGUAAUGUGAAUUGCAGAAUUCAGUGAAUCAUCGAGUCUUUGAACGCACAUUGCGCCCUCUGGUAUUCCGGAGGGCAUGCCUGUCCGAGCGUCAUUGCUGCCCUCAAGCACGGCUUGUGUGUUGGGCUCCGUCCCCCGAUCCCGGGGGACGGGCCCGAAAGGCAGCGGCGGCACCGCGUCCGGUCCUCGAGCGUAUGGGGCUUUGUCACCCGCUCUGUAGGCCCGGCCGGCGCUUGCCGAUCACCAAAUUUUUAUCCAGGUUGACCUCGGAUCAGGUAGGGAUACCCGCUGAACUUAAGCAUAUCAAUAAGCGGAGGA
This 344-nucleotide unclassified non-coding RNA is filed under the name soil metagenome. RNAcentral describes it as "partial contains 5.8S ribosomal RNA, internal transcribed spacer 2, and large subunit ribosomal RNA". The stretch from base 1 to 120 matches the Rfam family "5.8S ribosomal RNA", at positions 35 to 154 of the family's 154-position model. The record is from RNAcentral.